Molecule: ribosomal RNA, 253 nt
Filed under: uncultured bacterium
Lineage: Bacteria
Description: partial 16S ribosomal RNA
Rfam family: Bacterial small subunit ribosomal RNA
Source: RNAcentral
UACAGAGGUCUCAAGCGUUGUUCGGAUUCAUUGGGCGUAAAGGGUGCGUAGGCGGCUUUGCAAGUCGGGUGUGAAAUCCCCAGGCUUAACCUGGGAACUGCAUUCGAGACUGCAUUGCUAGAGUAUGGGAGAGGGCAGUGGAAUUUCCGGUGUAGCGGUGAAAUGCGUAGAUAUCGGAAGGAACAUCAGUGGCGAAAGCGACUGCCUGGACCAAUACUGACGCUCAUGUGCGAAAGCGUGGGGAGCAAACAGG